UUUUUUUUUUUUUUUUUUUUUUGUCUUUGAAUUCCAGCCGGCCGGGUAAGGCCAGUCCCUCCCGCCCGGAGAGUCCCAAACCACCAUUUGACAUGUAGGCCUGCUCCCUCUGAGACUCUCUGCCUGCUCUUAGCUGUUCUGUCCUGGAGUGCUCUGACUCGAAUCUCAUGGCUUGUUUUGUUUGUAUUUCGUGGCACACACACACACGCACACACGUAUCAGAUGCCACUGUAGUGAAACUGUUUGUUUUUUUUCCUCCCAGCUGCUUAAAGGAGUUAAAACAAGUAUAUUGUAGUAAUGAGAAACAUAUCUUUACUGUUAUAAAUAUCUAUAAAUAUAUAUAUAAGAUCAAAAAAGUCUAUAUAUGUCCAGGUGUUUAAAGCCAUUUGUGCUUCCAUGUGAAUUUUAGGAAAUACUUAAGUAGGAAAAGAAUAUCUAUAUACAUGCAUAUAUAUAUGUAUAUAUUACACCUGAAAAUUAACCAAAUCCUGACGUUGAAUUUUGAGCUGAUUGUUGAAUUCUCUGCUGUGUGCAGUUGGGUUAUUGUAUUACCCCAGACUUGUGGGUGAACUGUCUCAGUGCUGGUAGUAGCUGUGAUGCAGUUUGUGAUCUACCUGUCACUCUUGAUUAUUGAAUGAAAUAAACUAUCAUUUCUGUAUAAUGAAGGACUCUAUGACUAGAAUAAAACCAUCUCUCUUGUUCUUUUU
Non-coding RNA from Tinamus guttatus (white-throated tinamou), 707 nucleotides. The record is from RefSeq and is a predicted model, not a curated record. Lineage: Eukaryota; Metazoa; Chordata; Aves; Tinamiformes; Tinamidae.